Molecule: long non-coding RNA, 726 nt
Organism: Ipomoea nil (Japanese morning glory)
Lineage: Eukaryota; Viridiplantae; Streptophyta; Magnoliopsida; Solanales; Convolvulaceae
Exons: 2
Source: RefSeq, a predicted model, not a curated record
GUUAAGGACUUGAAAUAACGCAUGUAGUGGUCCAGGUCGGUUGUACACUUGCACCAUUUUUAGGGAAUUAGGGUUCGGCUGCGAGGAGUUUUGAUGAUUUUGAUCGGGCGUUGAAUUUAAAUUUGGCACGGAUUUUACACAGAAAAAAAUGGCGGAGAAAGUGGAGAUGAAUAACAGCGUGAAGAAGGUAAUUUCGCCAUGCGAUGUGGAGGCUCUGAAGAAGUGUUUGGAAGAGAACAAAGGGGACUAUUUGAAGUGCCAGUCUCAAGUCGAAGCCUUCAGGUCUUCGUGUUCUCUCAAGAAGCCCGCUUCAGCUCCAGAACCCUCGCUAAAUCCAGAUUCUUUUGUCAGGGACCGCAGAUAACCGAACAGACUGGAUGUGACCUCAGAAAAUGAAGUUGGUUUGCGGUGGCUCAGUAGCACUUUGACUCUUUUCUUUUCCUGUAUUUCUUCAUGGUUUAAAAAAUAGUUGGCUCCGAAAUUUUAGUUGUGAAUUGUGAUAGUAAAUGAGAAGGAAAUUACAGUGAAAAUAAACUGUGUCCAACAGCAUUUGAGAAGGUCACUCAAUAGUCAAGAGGCCUGUAGCAAGUUGACAUGGUCUGUGCCACAUUACUGAAUUAUUAUAUCAAAAUUUUGAGUCUUUUGUUAGACAGAGUUCCAAAAAUAUCAAUAUGCGUACCAAGUGGUUUGGUACUAUAUAAGCUUCAAUACUUCAAGACAGCCAAA